This 253-nucleotide ribosomal RNA is filed under the name uncultured bacterium. RNAcentral describes it as "partial 16S ribosomal RNA". It matches the Rfam family "Bacterial small subunit ribosomal RNA", at positions 524 to 776 of the family's 1533-position model. The record is from RNAcentral.
UACAGAGGUCUCAAGCGUUGUUCGGAUUCAUUGGGCGUAAAGGGUGCGUAGGUGGCGCGGUAAGUCGGGUGUGAAAUUUCGGAGCUUAACUCCGAAACUGCAUUCGAUACUGCCGUGCUUGAGGACUGGAGAGGAGACUGGAAUUUACGGUGUAGCAGUGAAAUGCGUAGAGAUCGUAAGGAAGACCAGUGGCGAAGGCGGGUCUCUGGACAGUUCCUGACACUGAGGCGCGACAGCGUUGGGAGCAAACAGG